This 440-nucleotide ribosomal RNA is filed under the name uncultured bacterium. Its description in RNAcentral is "bacterial SSU rRNA". It matches the Rfam family "Bacterial small subunit ribosomal RNA", at positions 338 to 770 of the family's 1533-position model. The record is from RNAcentral.
CCUACGGGUGGCAGCAGUGGGGAAUCUUGCGCAAUGCGCGAAAGCGUGACGCAGCAACGCCGCGUGGGGGAAGACGGCCUUCGGGUUGUAAACCCCUUUCAGGAGGGACGAAGCUUCGGCCGCGAAUAGCGGUCCGGAGUGACGGUACCUCCACAAGAAGCCCCGGCUAACUACGUGCCAGCAGCCGCGGUAAUACGUAGGGGGCCAGCGUUGUCCGGAAUCAUUGGGCGUAAAGAGCGCGUAGGCGGCCAGAUAAGUCCGGUGUGAAAGUCAAAGGCUCAACCUUUGAAUGCCGCUGGAAACUGUCUGGCUAGAGUCCGGAAGGGGCGAGUGGAAUUCCUGGUGUAGCGGUGAAAUGCGCAGAUAUCAGGAGGAACACCAAUGGCGAAGGCAGCUCGCUGGAACGGUACUGACGCUGUGGCGCGAAAGCGUGGGGAGCG